This 253-nucleotide ribosomal RNA is filed under the name uncultured bacterium. RNAcentral's name for it is "partial 16S ribosomal RNA". It matches the Rfam family "Bacterial small subunit ribosomal RNA", at positions 524 to 776 of the family's 1533-position model. The record is from RNAcentral.
UACGGAGGGGGCUAGCGUUGUUCGGAAUUACUGGGCGUAAAGCGCACGUAGGCGGCUUUGUAAGUUAGAGGUGAAAGCCCGGGGCUCAACUCCGGAAUUGCCUUUAAGACUGCAUCGCUAGAAUUGUGGAGAGGAAAGCGGAAUUCCUGGUGUAGCGGUGAAAUGCGUAGAUAUCAGGAGGAACACCUGCGGUGUAGACGGCUUUCUGGACCAUUGUUGACGCUGAGACACGAAAGCGUGGGUAGCAAACAGG